Molecule: non-coding RNA, 21 nt
Filed under: Caenorhabditis elegans
Lineage: Eukaryota; Metazoa; Nematoda; Chromadorea; Rhabditida; Rhabditidae
Source: RNAcentral
UGAAAGAUGCUUACAAAAUAA